RNAcentral lists this ribosomal RNA (465 nucleotides) under Vreelandella stevensii. Its description in RNAcentral is "partial 16S ribosomal RNA". It matches the Rfam family "Bacterial small subunit ribosomal RNA", at positions 338 to 795 of the family's 1533-position model. Lineage: Bacteria; Pseudomonadati; Pseudomonadota; Gammaproteobacteria; Oceanospirillales; Halomonadaceae. The record is from RNAcentral.
CCUACGGGGGGCUGCAGUGGGGAAUAUUGGACAAUGGGGGGAACCCUGAUCCAGCCAUGCCGCGUGUGUGAAGAAGGCCCUCGGGUUGUAAAGCACUUUCAGUGAGGAAGAACGCCUGGUGGUUAAUACCCAUCAGGAAAGACAUCACUCACAGAAGAAGCACCGGCUAACUCCGUGCCAGCAGCCGCGGUAAUACGGAGGGUGCGAGCGUUAAUCGGAAUUACUGGGCGUAAAGCGCGCGUAGGUGGCUUGAUAAGCCGGUUGUGAAAGCCCCGGGCGCAACCUGGGAACGGCAUCCGGAACUGUCAAGCUAGAGUGCAGGAGAGGAAGGUAGAAUUCCCGGUGUAGCGGUGAAAUGCGUAGAGAUCGGGAGGAAUACCAGUGGCGAAGGCGGCCUUCUGGACUGACACUGACACUGAGGUGCGAAAGCGUGGGUAGCAAACAGGAUUAGAUACCCUUGUAGUC